AUCAAUGUAAGAUAAAAAAAAACUUAAUUCAAAUAGUUUGGGGGUGGGGGUUGAACUGCUGCAAGAUUUGGUUAUCCGACAUUGAUUUUUACAUAUAUCCAUAUGGGUCAAUCAAUUUUUCCCAAAUUAAGUUAAUAGGGGUAGGGGGUCAGUCAGUGAAAACUAUUUGAAUUAAGUUUUUUAUCCUUCAUUGAACUUUUGAUGUCGUCCCUUAAAUAGUAUAAA
Molecule: long non-coding RNA, 225 nt
Filed under: Mytilus galloprovincialis (Mediterranean mussel)
Lineage: Eukaryota; Metazoa; Mollusca; Bivalvia; Mytilida; Mytilidae
Source: RNAcentral